GAAGUAUUUAUUCUCUCUGACAGUUGGACACAUUCCUCUUGCUGUGAGACCAGAAUCCCAGUUUAUUUGCAAUAUUAACUGCACUGCACUUCAGAGGAGCCUGCAAGAGGCUUCAAGUUGCUGCAAUCAUUCAUUGAGGCAACAGUACAAAGCUACCAAUUUGAAAACAAGACUUUGCUCACUAGCAGAAGAAAAUGAAAAAUUCAAGGAAAGCACCUUAUCUGUGACACACCCUGGGAUGAACUGCACUUGUCAGGGGAAGAUACAGCAGGAAGAAAACUCCAGAGAAAUUGCAAGAUCCAUUUGUAACAAACAUAAUAAAUAUCAAUAAAUUGCAUGGUCAGGAAUAGCACCUACAUAAACAGGAUGUGGCAACUGGAAUGAGCAUAUUAAACUAUACUCAUCAAAUGAUCAGAUUUGCAAUGGGACAAGACUAUAUUUUUUAAAAAGCUUUAUGGCUGUCAGA
Vidua macroura (Pin-tailed whydah) is the source of this 466-nucleotide long non-coding RNA. RefSeq lists it as uncharacterized. NCBI's taxonomy places the organism in Eukaryota, Metazoa, Chordata, Aves, Passeriformes, Viduidae. The transcript has 3 exons. The record is from RefSeq and is a predicted model, not a curated record.